CUCAGUCGAUGGCCUAUAAAGUCACCAUUGGACCAUGCUCAUGACAUCGUCGAUUUCUCCAUUGUUCUCUUUCCAACUGCAGUUCGAGUUUCCAUUCAAACAGAAGGAAGGGUAUUUUUAGGGGUUAGAACAGUGCGUCCAUUACCAAUUCUGGGGGAUUAUUUCAGUUCCUCUUGGCAUAAUGGCUCGGACGCAAUAUCAGUAAUGUGGCCAUCCUGAUUGAUGGUUAGCCUCAAUCCCAUUCAAUCGUGGAAACACCUCAGACAUUUUCACUUCAGGAGCUAACCUCUAAAAAUCCCUUUACUUCAUACUUGCAUUUUUUGUUAAUCAAUAUGAUCCAUUGCUUGAAAUUGCUAAUAGAUUCUGAGUUUUUUUUUUUUUAUUUUUAUGUAUUUUCCAUUUUCGACUGAAUGAUUGCUAGACGAAGCAUGGCAGAGAUCGAUAAUUCAUGUAAGAUUCAGGUCAAGGAUCGUGUCCUCGUUGCAGACUCUUUGCUAUGGCUUUCCUGGUGUCACUCUCGCUGGAUCGUGGCAUACUAAAAUUUAAUGCUCAAGUUUUUGUAAUAAUUUGUAAUUUAUAAUUUUUAUUUAAUUCCUCCAUUGUAAGGAUUAUUGUUAUUAUCUAAUAAAAUUUAUUAUUUCUUUUAAUUUUUCAA
Molecule: long non-coding RNA, 655 nt
Organism: Cucurbita moschata (crookneck pumpkin)
Lineage: Eukaryota; Viridiplantae; Streptophyta; Magnoliopsida; Cucurbitales; Cucurbitaceae
Exons: 2
Source: RefSeq, a predicted model, not a curated record